Molecule: unclassified non-coding RNA, 2250 nt
Filed under: Hevea brasiliensis (rubber tree)
Lineage: Eukaryota; Viridiplantae; Streptophyta; Magnoliopsida; Malpighiales; Euphorbiaceae
Source: RNAcentral
AAAAAAAAAAAAAAAAUCUUUUAAGUUUGUAAAUAAUAAAAGUUGUCCCUAAGUUUAACAGAGAUCUGAGACCAUGUAAAUAGGUUAAGUCACAUACUCUCAAAUUCUUCAUAGGAUGCAUGCAAGCAGCUAGAACAUAUGACAAUAAUGGCUACAUGAAGACACCACAAUGAAGAUUAUCACAUUAUUCGGGGGAUUACUGUAUUUCUCUUGAUUAAUUUUAUGGUUAUGAUCAUUUUCAGACAGUAUGAAUCACGUUUGAGUCUGAAAAGAGUUGAAAACUUGAAAUCCCUAAGCUUUUGUGUUUCAGAUUGUCACUUGAGCAAUCAUUUAUCUGGUAUGAACAGAAAAGGACUAAUAUGACUAUGUACAAUAAUGCCAAAUUCUUUUCUUUUUAUAAAUUAAAUAAUCAAACAUCAUUAAGAUCCCAUAUUCUAACAUAAAUUAGUAGUGAAAUCAUUAUCGCGCUUCAAAACCUAUAACCACAGAUUACUGGAUGACUCACUCACCUAUAAGUUCCAGAAACAAAUGGCUCAUGUAUCCUGGACCAAAUAAAGAAAAGGGGCUGAACGUUGUAACCAAUAAUUAUUAUGAGCCGGAAAAAAGAAAUGAUACAGUACCAAAAGCAUCUUUAAAAGAGCUUGUGUUCCAAUGUGAGCAAGGGCACUUUUAAUUCUUUUGUUUCCUUCAACAUCAACAUAGUGCAGCACACUUUCACCUUGUUCAUAAGUUUCAACAAGCACAGCUGGGUGCACUAAGGGAUACAGAGGCCUUGGGAAUGAUACAUCCUUCCAUCUCCGGAAAUUAUAGAUGAAGCGGCUCAAAUGGGCUGCUUCUCUUGCAAGAUCAACUUGAGACAUCAUGAAGACAGCAAAGUGUUGUAUGCUUUCUUCCAAUCUAGUCCAUUUUAAUGUAGGAACAAACUUUGAAAUUUUGGCUAAAAAAUUUAUUAAUACAAAAUCCCUUCUAAUUACUUCAGCAACGCUUGGAUGUCGAACCUUUACAGCCACUACAAUGGGCUCAAUCUCCUGACCAGGAUAUCUAUAUUUUAAAGUAGCUCGAUGAACUUGGGCAACACUUCCAGAUGCUAUAGGUUCCUCUUCAAAGUCUGCAAAAAUUUCAGGCAGCCUACGUCCAAAGGCUCUUUCAAUAGUCAUUCUGGUGAAGGUAAAACUAUGUGCUGGUGCUUUAGCAUGGAGUCUUGCAAGUUCUCUGCACAGAUCUUGGGGAAAAAGAUCUGGUCUUGUUGCAGCCCAUUGACCCCAUUUAAUAAAAGCUGGUCCUGCUUUUUCAAGUGUAAGACGAACAACACAAAGCCAUGUGUUUCUAAACUUAUGACUGAGAGAAUCUGCAAAUGGAGCCAUAACUAUGCAGGGCAAGAACAAAAUCGCCAAAUAAACAGCUCUGAGUAACAAAAUUAUGCCCUCAAGAAGUGAUAGCAGUAAUGCAUUCAAAUAACCAUGGCCAUCUUGUGUUUGUGUGUACAUAGCACCCCUUGUCCUUAAACUUUCUGCUUCUACCCAUGUUCGUUGAGUCCAAGCAAGCUGUCCAAUUAUGAAGGCAAUAACACGAGGAGCCAACAAAUUUGAUCGUGUCAAUGCUAGGCUCACUGCACAGGCUAUUCUACUUACUGGGGGUAAAGUUGGUUUAUUGUAAAACCAAAUUUGGGAAAAUCUCUUCCAAACAACUUGGCCAUGGUAAGAAAUGGCACUACUUGCUGAAUGCGUACAUAAGUUCCUAGAUACAAAAGAGUUCAAUAAGCAGUGCCUCAUUUGAUGCAAUGGAUAAGGAGAAUCUCUUCCAAACAAAUGUUUAUUCAAUCUCCAUAGGCUGUAAUGGAAACAGCCCAUGUAAUACACCCCAUUAGUAUUUGCUCCUGAGAUGUUAGUCUUCCCGCUACGAAGAAGGGAAUGUGUACCUAUCCUAACACUUCCAAAUGCCAAAAAUCUUGACAUAGCGUUGAGGUUUCUGAUGACGAUCGUUGGCGUGUUCUAACACACACAGGCGGCGCACAAUGGCCAGCCGGCAUUUCUUUUCAAAAUCCUGAAAACGACGACGGAGAACAGAAGGAUGCCGUCGGCCGUGGUUCAGCCACCAAGGUGGGCGGUGGUAGGAGAUUGAAGCAUGCUUGCUUUGGUUUAGUGGCAGGCGAAGGACGUGGAUGCAGUGGGAUCCAAUAAUCUGGUCAACUGUUGAAGUGCACGAAUGGAAGAAGAGAUGAUUUUCACGGUGAAUAAUUUAUUUGCGGAA